GUUGACCUCGGAUCAGGUAGGAAUACCCGCUGAACUUAAGCAUAUCAAUAAGCGGAGGAAAAGAAACCAACAGGGAUUGCCCCAGUAACGGCGAGUGAAGCGGCAACAGCUCAAAUUUGAAAUCUGGCCCCAGGCCCGAGUUGUAAUUUGCAGAGGAUGCUUUUGGCGCGGUGCCUUCCGAGUUCCCUGGAACGGGACGCCAUAGAGGGUGAGAGCCCCGUACGGUUGGACACCAAGCCUUUGUAAAGCUCCUUCGACGAGUCGAGUAGUUUGGGAAUGCUGCUCUAAAUGGGAGGUACAUUUCUUCUAAAGCUAAAUAUUGGCCAGAGACCGAUAGCGCACAAGUAGAGUGAUCGAAAGAUGAAAAGCACUUUGAAAAGAGGGUUAAACAGCACGUGAAAUUGUUAAAAGGGAAGCGCUUGUGACCAGACUUGCGUCCGGUGAAUCACCCAGCUCUCGCGGCUGGGGGCACUUCGCCGGCACAGGCCAGCAUCAGCUUGCCGUCGGGGACAAAAGCUUCAGGAACGUGGCUCCUCUCGGGGAGUGUUAUAGCCUGUUGCAUAAUACCCUUCGGCGGGCUGAGGUACGCGCUCCGCAAGGAUGCUGGCGUAAUGGUCAUCAGCGAC
RNAcentral lists this ribosomal RNA (626 nucleotides) under Colletotrichum acutatum. RNAcentral's name for it is "eukaryotic LSU rRNA". It matches the Rfam family "Eukaryotic large subunit ribosomal RNA", at positions 1 to 648 of the family's 3401-position model. The record is from RNAcentral. Lineage: Eukaryota; Fungi; Ascomycota; Sordariomycetes; Glomerellales; Glomerellaceae.